CACUGACACACACAACAAUCUUCAUCAACAUGACCUUCAUCAUCAUCUUCAUCUGGACUCUCACAGCGUUUGCUCAAGAGAGUAGAGGACAGAUCAGCGUCACUCAGAGUCCCUCAACGACAGCAGCUCAACCAGAAGAAACAGUCAAAAUCAACUGUAGAACCAGCACAGAUGUGUACAAUGAUGGUUCUGAUGAUUAUUUAGCCUGGUACUUACAGAAACCUGGAGAAGCUCCUAAACUCCUGAUUCGUUAUGCAAAACAACUCUACACUGGCACUCCAUCUAGAUUCAGUGGCAGUGGAUCUAACAGUGAUUUCACUCUGACCAUCAGUGGAGUCCAGACUGAAGAUGCUGGACAUUAUUACUGUCAGAGUCACCACAGUGGUCCAGUGUUCACACAGUGA
Non-coding RNA from Sinocyclocheilus anshuiensis, 404 nucleotides. NCBI's taxonomy places the organism in Eukaryota, Metazoa, Chordata, Actinopteri, Cypriniformes, Cyprinidae. The record is from the annotation of a RefSeq genome assembly.